RNA transcript from Brachypodium distachyon (stiff brome), 1934 nucleotides. It is a transcript of the gene named polyadenylate-binding protein-interacting protein 8, with no coding region annotated. The record is from RefSeq and is a predicted model, not a curated record. The transcript is spliced from 12 exons. NCBI's taxonomy places the organism in Eukaryota, Viridiplantae, Streptophyta, Magnoliopsida, Poales, Poaceae.
AAGCGAUCUCGCUCGUCUCCUCCACGCUUUUUUCUUCCCAUUCCUCCCCCACUGUCCAAUAAAUAAUAAAAACAACACCAAAUUACCUCGAUUCGAUUUCCUCGCGAAUUCACCAGGCGCUAGUGUCGGAGCGCGAUCGGCGGACAGAUUCGUCGGCGGGCGGAGAUGGUUGCCGUGGCGGCCGAUGGCCUGAUCCGCGCGGACGCCGUGCCGGCGGCGGCCGGGGCUGGCACGGGGGCGGAGAGGGUGGAUGCGGCGGCUGCGGGAGGGGCGGGGGCGGCCAAGGCCAGGGAGGACGAGGUGAGGGAGUACAAGAGCGAUGUGAGGAAGCUGGAGGAGCUGUUCAAGAAGCUGAACCCCUCCGCGGAGGAGUUUGUGCCGCUCUCCCGCCGCCAAGCGGACGGCGGCCGGCGGCUGUCGGCCGACGCGCCCGUCUUCGUGUCGCCCGCCAUCGACUACUACGCGCCCCAUCACCCGUUCCAGCAGCAGCAGCCGCAGCAGAUGCACGUUCUGCAGGUGGUCGGUGGUGGGGGUAGAGACUCCAGCAGCGAUGGAUCCGUCAACGGCCAGCCGAAUCGACGGAGAAGGAAUGGCUUCAACCAGGGCAGGAGGAGGAUGGGACCCCGGCCACGGCGAACUGAUAGGGAGGAUAGUGUGCGGAGAACUGUCUAUGUUUCCGACAUUGAUCAACAUGUCACGGAACAGAAGCUUGCUGAGGUUUUCUCAAACUGUGGACAAGUGGUUGAUUGCCGUAUCUGUGGUGAUCCAAAUUCAGUGAUGCGUUUUGCUUUCAUCGAGUUUGCUGAUGAUGUUGGUGCAAGAGCAGCUUUAUCACUUGCUGGAACCAUUCUUGGUUAUUAUCCUGUCAGAGUUCUGCCUUCUAAGACUGCGAUUUUGCCUGUGAAUCCAAAAUUUCUUCCUCGGACAGAAGAUGAGAAAGAAAUGGUAUCCAGGACUGUGUACUGUACUAACAUUGAUAAAAAUGUUCCAGAAGAUGUAGUGAAGAAGUUCUUUGAGGGAAUCUGUGGUGAGGUUGCUCGACUGAGGCUGCUUGGUGAUUAUGUGCACUCCACUUGCAUUGCCUUUGUUGAGUUUGUUCAAGCAGAAGGUGCCAUUAUGGCCCUCAACUGCAGUGGCAUGCUUCUUGGCUCGCUCCCCGUCAGGGUGAGCCCGUCAAAGACACCAGUCCGCCCUCGUUCACCUCGUGCCAUGUCGCACUGAAUUUGGCUCUUGCCUGAAAGCCGGCGUCCAGGGCAGCAAUUCCGGGCAAGAAACCCUUAGUCGUGGCCUUAGAGACUGUCGCGCUGCGGAUCAGUAACUGUCGUUUGAGAGUGUUACCCUUGGUUAUCUAGGCUAGUAGAAGGCCCUUCCCUGCUGAUGUUUCUUGGAUCAGAUGAGAGACCCAUCUGUGGGAGGCCACGCGCAACAGGGUUUAGCGCGCUUGCCGAUUCACAUGAAAAGAAUCCAUACGACCAAUCUAAUCAUUUAGGACGAGCAUACGAUAUUCCUGCCUACUAAACAUGUGUCACGACUGAAAAAAGUGCACACUGAAGACAUACCUCAGAAGUAGCCUUGCUGGAUGGAAUCCAGAAAUUUUCUUCACCUGGAAAAUGACCGCAUUGAGGAAAGCCGCAAUAGAUAUGUAAGAAAUACAUAGAGGUAAAAUGAAAGAGAUAGGGGUAAAGAUAGAUGAGCUAAAAAAACCUGUGAAGUGAUCACAAGAAGUGCGGGAAAUUUCACCACAUCCGGCAAACACCAGGGAGCAUAGGCAACGGCAACAAUUGUUGAAUGAGAAGAGAACAUGUAGGAGUGUAAUAUAGGUUGUAGCAAUGGAAAGCCCUGUGAGCCAAUCGAUAUGUGCCUCUUCGCAUGCCCAGGUAAUGGAGACUGUUACUUGCAUUGAUUGGAGUAAUUGGGGGAGAAAUUAUAUAUAA